CCCUGUCUCGAAAGUGACCGUGGAGUGUCCAUCUCCAGGUCAUUGAUGUACAGGAAGAGCAACUGAAAGUCUUUCCCGUGUUUGCUGGAUUCUGUUCCUGACAAACCCUGAAUCUUUCUCACA
This is a small nucleolar RNA of Ctenopharyngodon idella (grass carp), 123 nucleotides long. RefSeq annotates it as small nucleolar RNA SNORA71. The record is from RefSeq and is a predicted model, not a curated record. The transcript has a single exon. Lineage: Eukaryota; Metazoa; Chordata; Actinopteri; Cypriniformes; Xenocyprididae.